RNAcentral lists this transfer RNA (72 nucleotides) under Zancudomyces culisetae. It matches the Rfam family "tRNA". Rfam says of the family: Transfer RNA (tRNA) molecules are approximately 80 nucleotides in length. Their secondary structure includes four short double-helical elements and three loops (D, anti-codon, and T loops). Lineage: Eukaryota; Fungi; Kickxellomycota; Harpellomycetes; Harpellales; Legeriomycetaceae. The record is from Rfam by way of RNAcentral.
AGGGUUAUAAUUUAAUUGGUAAAAUAUUCGUCUCCAAAAUGAAUUUUAUAGGUUCAAAUCCUAUUGACCCUG